CUAUGCGCCUUGCCAGCCGCUCAGGUGUGCCAGCAGCCGCGGUAAUACGAGGAUGCGAGCGUUAUCCGGAUUUAUUGGGUUUAAAGGGUGCGUAGGUGGUUAACUAAGUCAGCGGUGAAAGUUGUGGCUCAACCAUAAAAUUGCCGUUGAAACUGGUUGACUUGAGUAUAUUUGAGGUAGGCGGAAUGCGUGGUGUAGCGGUGAAAUGCAUAGAUAUCACGCAGAACUCCGAUUGCGAAGGCAGCAUACCGGCGCCUACUGACGCUGAGGCACGAAAGCGUGGGUAUCGAACAGG
RNAcentral lists this ribosomal RNA (295 nucleotides) under uncultured bacterium. Its description in RNAcentral is "partial 16S ribosomal RNA". It matches the Rfam family "Bacterial small subunit ribosomal RNA", at positions 475 to 776 of the family's 1533-position model. The record is from RNAcentral.